GCCCAGGUGGAGGAAUUGGAAUACUCAGCAGCUUGAGGGGCUGUGCUCGUAAGAGCGUGCGGGUUCAAAUCCCGCCCUGGGCACCA
This 86-nucleotide transfer RNA is filed under the name Bacillota bacterium. RNAcentral's name for it is "tRNA-Leu". It matches the Rfam family "tRNA". From Rfam's summary of the family: Transfer RNA (tRNA) molecules are approximately 80 nucleotides in length. Their secondary structure includes four short double-helical elements and three loops (D, anti-codon, and T loops). Further hydrogen bonds mediate the characteristic L-shaped molecular structure. tRNAs have two regions of fundamental functional importance: the anti-codon, which is responsible for specific mRNA codon recognition, and the 3' end, to which the tRNAs corresponding amino acid is attached (by aminoacyl-tRNA synthetases). tRNAs cope with the degeneracy of the genetic code in two manners: having more than one tRNA (with a specific anti-codon) for a particular amino acid; and 'wobble' base-pairing, i.e. permitting non-standard base-pairing at the 3rd anti-codon position. The record is from RNAcentral. Lineage: Bacteria; Bacillati; Bacillota.